Molecule: ribosomal RNA, 391 nt
Filed under: uncultured Alphaproteobacteria bacterium
Lineage: Bacteria; Pseudomonadati; Pseudomonadota; Alphaproteobacteria
Description: bacterial SSU rRNA
Rfam family: Bacterial small subunit ribosomal RNA
Source: RNAcentral
GGCAGGCCUAACACAUGCAAGUCGAGCGGGCCCUUCGGGGUCAGCGGCGGACGGGUGAGUAACGCGUGGGAACGUGCCUUCUGGUUCGGAAUAACCCUGGGAAACUAGGGCUAAUACCGGAUACGCCCUUUUGGGGAAAGGUUUACUGCCGGAAGAUCGGCCCGCGUCUGAUUAGCUAGUUGGUGGGGUAACGGCCUACCAAGGCGACGAUCAGUAGCUGGUCUGAGAGGAUGAUCAGCCACACUGGGACUGAGACACGGCCCAGACUCCUACGGGAGGCAGCAGUGGGGAAUAUUGGACAAUGGGCGCAAGCCUGAUCCAGCCAUGCCGCGUGAGUGAUGAAGGCCUUAGGGUUGUAAAGCUCUUUUAUCCGGGACGAUAAUGACGGUAC